RNAcentral lists this ribosomal RNA (433 nucleotides) under uncultured bacterium. RNAcentral describes it as "partial 16S ribosomal RNA". It matches the Rfam family "Bacterial small subunit ribosomal RNA", at positions 29 to 507 of the family's 1533-position model. The record is from RNAcentral.
AGCGAACGCUGGCGGCAGGCCUAACACAUGCAAGUCGAACGAACUCUUCGGAGUUAGUGGCGGACGGGUGAGUAACACGUGGGAACGUGCCUUUAGGUUCGGAAUAACUCAGGGAAACUUGUGCUAAUACCGAAUGUGCCCUUCGGGGGAAAGAUUGAUCGCCUUUAGAGCGGCCCGCGUCUGAUUAGCUAGUUGGUGAGGUCAAGGCUCACCAAGGCGACGAUCAGUAGCUGGUCUGAGAGGAGGAUCAGCCACAUUGGGACUGAGACACGGCCCAAACUCCUACGGGAGGCAGCAGUGGGGAAUCUUGCGCAAUGGGCGACAGCCUGACGCAGCCAUGCCGCGUGAAUGAUGAAGGUCUUAGGAUUGUAAAAUUCUUUCACCGGGGACGAUAAUGACGGUACCCGGAGAAGAAGCCCCGGCUAACUUCGUG